This 133-nucleotide ribosomal RNA is filed under the name uncultured bacterium. RNAcentral's name for it is "partial 16S ribosomal RNA". The record is from RNAcentral.
CUACGUUCCCGGGCCUUGUACGACACCGGCCCGUCACACCACGAAAGUCGGCAACACCCCGAAACGCCGGUAGGGCCGUAACCCCCUUGUCGGGACGGGAAACCGUACGAAGGGUGGGUUGAUGAUUGGGGUG